RNAcentral lists this long non-coding RNA (925 nucleotides) under Gallus gallus (chicken). The record is from RNAcentral. Lineage: Eukaryota; Metazoa; Chordata; Aves; Galliformes; Phasianidae.
GACAGAGUAGCAUACAUGAACGCCUUUGCAGCUGAAGAGCAUGAUUAUCCUACAGCAUCAGUGGGAUGGGAAAAUGCCUAACUUAAGAGCAAGCCACUCAGAGAACUGAGCACUCACUGCAGAGAGACAAGGAAGAGCCACAGAGGGGGUUGUGGUGUGUAGGGUGGCAGUCUGCUGGUUUUAAAACUUUUACAAUGGAUUCUGCUGUCAUGACGAUUUUAAACUGAUAUACUGUAAAACUGAUAAACUAUACUGACAUUAAUGGACUUGCUCCUGGUUUAUGCUUGAUUCAGCCCGGGAGUAAGGUUUCUGGGUUUACAAGUGAUCUUGAAAAAGUAAAAAUGAAUAGAGAUCUUGAUACUUUCGGAAAGCCAAUGCUGCACAGUCAGCCCUAGCAUCUUCUGUAAUAACAGGAACAAUACGUUGAUACUGUUGGAAACAAGAUACCAAAUAACAGACAAGUAUAGGAGACAAGUCAUGUUGUGGCUGUUGAAUGGCUCUUAUGCACAACUGAUGUACCAGAUCCCCCUUCCCUGAUGCUGACACAACCAUCUGCCUUACGCCAAGCACAGAGGAAGGUCCGGCGGCUUGAAUAAGACACGGCGAUGCUCUGUGAUGACGCAGGAACUGGGAUAAUUGAGUUUUCAGCAGGUCCCCUCAUAGUGGGUUUACCUGCGUAGGCAGAAGAGCUUAAGUCCUGCAUGGUACAGGUCAGUGCCUCGCUUUUGUGUGCUCCUCUCUUCUCACAGCACAUCCCUACGUGCUCAGCAUCGGUGCUCAGCGGGAAGAACGAGAGGAGCGCUGGUAUCAUUAAUACUACUAUUAAUUUUAUUUGAGAGAGAGAAGGACAUGCUUGGAAAGACAGAAACAGAGAAGAACACGGAAGCAUAGUCUGAGCCUAGUCAAAGCUCAGGAACGUGCCCGA